RNAcentral lists this ribosomal RNA (1449 nucleotides) under Bacillus velezensis. RNAcentral describes it as "bacterial SSU rRNA". It matches the Rfam family "Bacterial small subunit ribosomal RNA". The record is from RNAcentral. Lineage: Bacteria; Bacillati; Bacillota; Bacilli; Caryophanales; Bacillaceae.
AUAGCGGGCUAUACAUGCAGUCGAGCGGACAGAUGGGAGCUUGCUCCCUGAUGUUAGCGGCGGACGGGUGAGUAACACGUGGGUAACCUGCCUGUAAGACUGGGAUAACUCCGGGAAACCGGGGCUAAUACCGGAUGGUUGUUUGAACCGCAUGGUUCAGACAUAAAAGGUGGCUUCGGCUACCACUUACAGAUGGACCCGCGGCGCAUUAGCUAGUUGGUGAGGUAACGGCUCACCAAGGCGACGAUGCGUAGCCGACCUGAGAGGGUGAUCGGCCACACUGGGACUGAGACACGGCCCAGACUCCUACGGGAGGCAGCAGUAGGGAAUCUUCCGCAAUGGACGAAAGUCUGACGGAGCAACGCCGCGUGAGUGAUGAAGGUUUUCGGAUCGUAAAGCUCUGUUGUUAGGGAAGAACAAGUGCCGUUCAAAUAGGGCGGCACCUUGACGGUACCUAACCAGAAAGCCACGGCUAACUACGUGCCAGCAGCCGCGGUAAUACGUAGGUGGCAAGCGUUGUCCGGAAUUAUUGGGCGUAAAGGGCUCGCAGGCGGUUUCUUAAGUCUGAUGUGAAAGCCCCCGGCUCAACCGGGGAGGGUCAUUGGAAACUGGGGAACUUGAGUGCAGAAGAGGAGAGUGGAAUUCCACGUGUAGCGGUGAAAUGCGUAGAGAUGUGGAGGAACACCAGUGGCGAAGGCGACUCUCUGGUCUGUAACUGACGCUGAGGAGCGAAAGCGUGGGGAGCGAACAGGAUUAGAUACCCUGGUAGUCCACGCCGUAAACGAUGAGUGCUAAGUGUUAGGGGGUUUCCGCCCCUUAGUGCUGCAGCUAACGCAUUAAGCACUCCGCCUGGGGGAGUACGGUCGCAAGACUGAAACUCAAAGGAAUUGACGGGGGCCCGCACAAGCGGUGGAAGCAUGUGGUUUAAUUCGAAGCAACGCGAAGAACCUUACCAGGUCUUGACAUCCUCUGACAAUCCUAGAGAUAGGACGUCCCCUUCGGGGGCAGAGUGACAGGUGGUGCAUGGUUGUCGUCAGCUCGUGUCGUGAGAUGUUGGGUUAAGUCCCGCAACGAGCGCAACCCUUGAUCUUAGUUGCCAGCAUUCAGUUGGGCACUCUAAGGUGACUGCCGGUGACAAACCGGAGGAAGGUGGGGAUGACGUCAAAUCAUCAUGCCCCUUAUGACCUGGGCUACACACGUGCUACAAUGGACAGAACAAAGGGCAGCGAAACCGCGAGGUUAAGCCAAUCCCACAAAUCUGUUCUCAGUUCGGAUCGCAGUCUGCAACUCGACUGCGUGAAGCUGGAAUCGCUAGUAAUCGCGGAUCAGCAUGCCGCGGUGAAUACGUUCCCGGGCCUUGUACACACCGCCCGUCACACCACGAGAGUUUGUAACACCCGAAGUCGGUGAGGUAACCUUUAGGAGCCAGCCGCCGAAGUGACAGAUCCG